AUUGAACGCUGGCGGCAUGCCUUACACAUGCAAGUCGAACGGCAGCACGGGAGCAAUCCUGGUGGCGAGUGGCGAACGGGUGAGUAAUGUAUCGGAACGUACCUUUCAGUGGGGGAUAACGUAGCGAAAGUUACGCUAAUACCGCAUAUUCUGUGAGCAGGAAAGCAGGGGAUCGCAAGACCUUGCGCUGAUUGAGCGGCCGAUAUCAGAUUAGCUAGUUGGUGAGAUAAAGGCUCACCAAGGCGACGAUCUGUAGCGGGUCUGAGAGGAUGAUCCGCCACACUGGAACUGAGACACGGUCCAGACUCCUACGGGAGGCAGCAGUGGGGAAUUUUGGACAAUGGGCGCAAGCCUGAUCCAGCCAUGCCGCGUGAGUGAAGAAGGCC
Molecule: ribosomal RNA, 386 nt
Filed under: uncultured bacterium
Lineage: Bacteria
Description: bacterial SSU rRNA
Rfam family: Bacterial small subunit ribosomal RNA
Source: RNAcentral